CCUACGGGUGGCAGCAGUGGGGAAUGUUGCGCAAUGGGGGAAACCCUGACGCAGCAACGCCGCGUGAGGGACGAAGGCCCACGGGUCGUACACCUCUUUCAGCAGGGAAGACCUUACGACGGGACCUGCAGAAGAAGCUCCGGCUAACUACGAGCCAGCAGCCGCGCUAAUACGUAGGGGGCGAGUGGUAUCCGGAUGCAGUGGGCGUAAAGCGCGCGUAGGGGGCCGCCUAAGCGGAACCUCUAAACCCGGGGCUCAACCCCGGGCCGGGGUCCGGCAUGGGCGGCUGGAGUGCGGUAGAGGCGAGCGGAAUGCCCGGUGUAGCGGUGGAAUGCGCAGAUAUCGGGAAGAACACCGAUGGCGAAGGCAGCUCUCUGGGCCGUCACUGACGCUGAGGCGCGAAAGCUGGGGGAGCGAACAGGAUUAGAUACCCGAGUAGUC
This 441-nucleotide ribosomal RNA is filed under the name uncultured bacterium. RNAcentral's name for it is "partial 16S ribosomal RNA". It matches the Rfam family "Bacterial small subunit ribosomal RNA", at positions 338 to 795 of the family's 1533-position model. The record is from RNAcentral.